Molecule: ribosomal RNA, 425 nt
Filed under: Streptomyces sp. 223-4.1-LH-Heh(s)-18
Lineage: Bacteria; Bacillati; Actinomycetota; Actinomycetes; Kitasatosporales; Streptomycetaceae
Description: bacterial SSU rRNA
Rfam family: Bacterial small subunit ribosomal RNA
Source: RNAcentral
UGGAGAUUGAUCCUGGCUCAGGACGAACGCUGGCGGCGUGCUUAACACAUGCAAGUCGAACGAUGAAGCCCUUCGGGGUGGAUUAGUGGCGAACGGGUGAGUAACACGUGGGCAAUCUGCCCUUCACUCUGGGACAAGCCCUGGAAACGGGGUCUAAUACCGGAUAACACUCCUGCCUGCAUGGGCGGGGGUUAAAAGCUCCGGCGGUGAAGGAUGAGCCCGCGGCCUAUCAGCUUGUUGGUGGGGUAAUGGCCCACCAAGGCGACGACGGGUAGCCGGCCUGAGAGGGCGACCGGCCACACUGGGACUGAGACACGGCCCAGACUCCUACGGGAGGCAGCAGUGGGGAAUAUUGCACAAUGGGCGAAAGCCUGAUGCAGCGACGCCGCGUGAGGGAUGACGGCCUUCGGGUUGUAAACCCUCCC